This 186-nucleotide non-coding RNA is filed under the name Deltaproteobacteria bacterium. The record is from RNAcentral. Lineage: Bacteria; Pseudomonadati; Myxococcota; Myxococcia.
CCAAAAUUAUUAGCACCGGGUGCCCGCCUCAGAACGGGCCAAAAAGGGAAUCCCGUUGAACCGGGAGCUGCCCCGCAACUGUAUGCGGCGACGAAAUCUUAACUAACCACUGGCUUCAACGCCGGGAAGGAUAAGAGAGUAGGAUGACCCGCGAGCCAGGAGACCUGCCAGGUGUUAUUGUUCUUU